GGUCUAGUAUAGCAAUUAUACCGUGAAACUGCGAAUGGCUCAUUAAAUCAGUUAUCGUUUAUUUGAUAGUACCUUACUACUUGGAUAACCGUGGUAAUUCUAGAGCUAAUACAUGUAAAACCCCAACUUCGGAGGGGUGUAUUUAUUAGAUAAAAAACCAACGCCCUUCGGGGCUUCUUGGUGAUUCAUGAUAACUUUACGGAUCGCAUGGCCUUGCGCCGGCGACGGUUCAUUCAAAUUUCUGCCCUAUCAACUUUCGAUGGUAAGGUAUUGGCUUACCAUGGUUUCAACGGGUAACGGGGAAUGGGGCGGGGGCGGCGGGCCGGGCGCGGGGCGCGGCGGGC
Molecule: ribosomal RNA, 344 nt
Filed under: fungal sp. H32
Lineage: Eukaryota; Fungi
Description: bacterial SSU rRNA
Rfam family: Eukaryotic small subunit ribosomal RNA
Source: RNAcentral